UCGGCUGACGGCUCAGUAACACGUGGAUAACCUGCCCUCAGGUAGGGGAUGAUCUCGGGAAACUGAGGAUAAUACCCUAUAGACAUCCUUUGCUGGAAUGCUUGGAUGUUCAAAGGCAACGCCUGAGGAUGGGUCUGCGGCCUAUCAGGUAGUAGUGGGUGUAACGGACCCACUAGCCAGCGACGGGUACGGGCCUUGAAAGAGGUAGCCCGGAGAUGGACUCUGAGACACGAGUCCAGGCCCUACGGGGCGCAGCAGGCGCGAAAACUUCGCAAUGCGGGAAACCGUGACGAGGGAAUUCCGAGUGCUCAUACAAUGUAUGGGCUUUUCUUAUGUGUAAAUAGCAUGAGGAAUAAGGGCUGGGUAAGACCGGUGCCAGCCGCCGCGGUAAUACCGGCAGCUCUAGUGGUAGCCACUUUUAUUGGGCCUAAAGCGUCCGUAGCCGGUCGGGUAAAUCCUUGGGUAAAUCGUACAGCUCAACUGUGCGGCUUCCGGGGAGACUGCCCGACUUGGGACCGGGAGAGGUUGGAGGUACUCCUGGGGUAGGGGUGAAAUCCUGUAAUCCUAGGUGGACCACCGGUGGCGAAGGCGUCCAACCAGAACGGCUCCGACGGUGAGGGACGAAGGCUAGGGGCGCAAACCGGAUUAGAUACCCGGGUAGUCCUAGCUGUAAACGCUGCAGACUUGGUGUUGGAGAUCCUACGAGGGUGUCCAGUGCCGGAGAGAAGUUGUUAAGUUUGCCGCCUGGGAAGUAUGGCCGCAAGGCUGAAACUUAAAGGAAUUGGCGGGGGAGCACCGCAACGGGAGGAGCGUGCGGUUUAAUU
RNAcentral lists this ribosomal RNA (824 nucleotides) under uncultured marine euryarchaeote. RNAcentral describes it as "bacterial SSU rRNA". It matches the Rfam family "Archaeal small subunit ribosomal RNA", at positions 78 to 907 of the family's 1478-position model. The record is from RNAcentral. Lineage: Archaea; Methanobacteriati; Methanobacteriota.